UACGGAAGGGGCAAGCGUUGUUCGGAAUCAUUGGGCGUAAAGGGCGCGUAGGUGGUCCUGUAUGUCUACCGUGAAAGCGUACGGCUCAACCGUAUUUUGUCGGUAGAAACUGCAGGACUUGAGGCUGGGAGGGGCUGGUGGAAUUCCCUGUGUAGCGGUGAAAUGCGUAGAUAUCUGGAGGAACACCGGUGGCGAAGGCGGCGUUCUGGACUGUUUCUGACACUGAAAAACGAAAGCCAGGGGAGCAAACGGG
Molecule: ribosomal RNA, 253 nt
Filed under: uncultured bacterium
Lineage: Bacteria
Description: partial 16S ribosomal RNA
Rfam family: Bacterial small subunit ribosomal RNA
Source: RNAcentral